This 597-nucleotide ribosomal RNA is filed under the name uncultured archaeon. Its description in RNAcentral is "bacterial SSU rRNA". It matches the Rfam family "Archaeal small subunit ribosomal RNA", at positions 35 to 638 of the family's 1478-position model. The record is from RNAcentral.
AGGGUUCGAUUAAGCCAUGCGAGUCGAGAGGGUUCGGCCCUCGGCGUACUGCUCAGUAACACGUGGAUAUUCUGCCCUAGGGAAGGGGAUAAUCCCGGGAAACUGGGGAUAAUACCCUAUAGGUUACAGAUGCUGGAAUGCUCUGUAAUCAAAAGUUCCGGCGCCCUAGGAUGGAUCUGCGGCCGAUUAGGUUGUUGUUGGGGUAAUGGCCCAACAAGCCAGUAAUCGGUACGGGUUGUGGGAGCAAGAGCCCGGAGUUGGAUUCUGAGACACGAAUCCAGGCCCUACGGGGCGCAGCAGGCGCGAAAACUUUACAAUGCGGGCAACCGUGAAAAGGGAACCUCUAGUGCCUGUAAAUGCAGGCUGUUCAGAUGCCUAAAACACAUCUGGAGAAAGGGCCGGGCAAGACCGGUGCCAGCCGCCGCGGUAAUACCGGCGGCUCGAGUGGUGGCCACUUUUAUUGGGCUUAAAGCGUUCGUAGCUGGGUUGUUAAGUUCUCUUGGGAAAUCUGGCGGCUUAACCGUCCGGCGUCUAAGGGGAUACUGGCAAUCUUGGAACCGGGAGAGGUGAGGGGUACUUCGGGGGUAGGAAUGAAAU